GACGAACGCUGGCGGCGUGCUUAACACAUGCAAGUCGAACGGAAAGGCCCUGCUUUUGUGGGGUGCUCGAGUGGCGAACGGGUGAGUAACACGUGAGUAACCUGCCCUUGACUUUGGGAUAACUUCAGGAAACUGGGGCUAAUACCGGAUAGGAGCUCCUGCUGCAUGGUGGGGGUUGGAAAGUUUCGGCGGUUGGGGAUGGACUCGCGGCUUAUCAGCUUGUUGGUGGGGUAGUGGCUUACCAAGGCUUUGACGGGUAGCCGGCCUGGGAGGGUGACCGGGCACAAUGGGACUAGGGGACGGCCCAGAGUUCUAAGGGGGGCAACGGGUGGGAAUAUUGCACAAUGGGCCGGAGCCCGAAUCCACAACGCCGGGGUCGGGAAGACCGCCUUUGGGUUGUAAACCGCUUUCGCCUGUGACGAAGCGUGAGUGACGGUAAUGGGUAAAGAAGCACCGGCUAACUACGUG
RNAcentral lists this ribosomal RNA (468 nucleotides) under uncultured bacterium. RNAcentral's name for it is "partial 16S ribosomal RNA". It matches the Rfam family "Bacterial small subunit ribosomal RNA", at positions 28 to 507 of the family's 1533-position model. The record is from RNAcentral.